UUUGUGAUUUGGACGAAGAGAACAAAUAUGGCCAAUCAAUCAGAUAAUAAAGUCACUGUUAAUGAAGAUGAAGGUCAGGAUGAUGAACUUGAGCUCCCAGUAUAUGAAUUUUCCUCUAUCCAAUUUGCCACCAACAACUUCUCUGUUGCAAAUAAGAUUGGAGAAGGGGGGUUUGGGCCUGUUUACAAGGGUGAUUUACAAUCCGGACAAGAAGUAGCUGUGAAGAGACUCGGGGAGAAUUCUG
This 244-nucleotide unclassified non-coding RNA is filed under the name Hevea brasiliensis (rubber tree). Lineage: Eukaryota; Viridiplantae; Streptophyta; Magnoliopsida; Malpighiales; Euphorbiaceae. The record is from RNAcentral.